UACGUAGGUGGCGAGCGUUGUCCGGAUUUACUGGGCGUAAAGGGAGCGUAGGCGGACUUUUAAGUGAGAUGUGAAAUACCCGGGCUCAACUUGGGUGCUGCAUUUCAAACUGGAAGUCUAGAGUGCAGGAGAGGAGAAUGGAAUUCCUAGUGUAGCGGUGAAAUGCGUAGAGAUUAGGAAGAACACCAGUGGCGAAGGCGAUUCUCUGGACUGUAACUGACGCUCAGGCACGAAGGCGUGGGGAUCAAACAGGAUUAGAUACCCCGGUAGU
RNAcentral lists this ribosomal RNA (271 nucleotides) under uncultured prokaryote. RNAcentral describes it as "partial 16S ribosomal RNA". It matches the Rfam family "Bacterial small subunit ribosomal RNA", at positions 524 to 794 of the family's 1533-position model. The record is from RNAcentral.